Molecule: non-coding RNA, 138 nt
Organism: Ornithorhynchus anatinus (platypus)
Lineage: Eukaryota; Metazoa; Chordata; Mammalia; Monotremata; Ornithorhynchidae
Source: Rfam
CCCCUCUCAGGGUCGUAUCUGGAGAGUUUCCAGUACUCUACCACUCUCAGCUACAGGAGGGAGAGUCAAGCAGAGGCAUGCCCACUCCAUUCCUAGCUUGGGCAGUGGCUAGCGAGUGGAAGGCAAUCUGCUACAAGU